Molecule: non-coding RNA, 217 nt
Filed under: Lachnospiraceae bacterium
Lineage: Bacteria; Bacillati; Bacillota; Clostridia; Lachnospirales; Lachnospiraceae
Description: 6S RNA
Rfam family: 6S / SsrS RNA
About the family: E. coli 6S RNA was the first non coding RNA to be sequenced, but its function was unknown until recently. It consists of 184 nucleotides that fold into an extended hairpin structure with a large single-stranded internal bulge.
Source: RNAcentral
AGUAACCUGAGAUGUACGAUAACUCCUGCUAUUUUGAACCUACAUUUACUUUAAACGGGAUUCCUACAUCAUUGCACGGCUGUCAAGCCCCCACUUUACUGUGCUGCUAUGUAAGGCAGACAGAAAAGGAUUGGAGGGGAAGGCAAAAGUGUGAUUGCGGUCGCCCACCUAGCUUAGCUAGGAGUCAAAGUGCAGGAAGCGGCAUUUUGGGGAUAUA